AAAUUUUCACAGAUUGUAAAUGCGUUUCUUUGAAUGUUAACAGAUUUUGAAUGCCUGUCUUUCUGUUGUGAAGGAAAUUGCUGACCUUCAGGGCAUAAUGGUCCAUGUCUUUAAUUCAUAUGUGACAGUGACUUGGUUGCCACCCUUGUGCGCAGACCCAAUGUGCAAUGUUCCUGAAAAUCUAGCAAGUCAUGACAUAAUUCUAUCUCCCUCCUGGUCAGAAAAUCAUUGGAAGAUCUGUGCAACUAGCAAAACCAGUCAUUCCAGAGCCAUGGAGGGAGUACAGCUGUGAUGACAUUACAG
This is a long non-coding RNA of Carassius carassius (crucian carp), 303 nucleotides long. RefSeq lists it as uncharacterized. The record is from RefSeq and is a predicted model, not a curated record. NCBI's taxonomy places the organism in Eukaryota, Metazoa, Chordata, Actinopteri, Cypriniformes, Cyprinidae. The transcript has 4 exons.